RNAcentral lists this ribosomal RNA (482 nucleotides) under uncultured bacterium. Its description in RNAcentral is "bacterial SSU rRNA". It matches the Rfam family "Bacterial small subunit ribosomal RNA", at positions 9 to 507 of the family's 1533-position model. The record is from RNAcentral.
GAGUUUGAUCAGUGGCUCAGGACGAACGCUGGCGGCGUGCUUAACACAUGCAAGUCGAACGGUAAGGCCCUUCGGGGUACACGAGUGGCGAACGGGUGAGUAACACGUGGGUGAUCUGCCCUGCACUUCGGGAUAAGCCUGGGAAACUGGGUCUAAUACCGGAUAGGACCAUGGACUUCACGGUUUGUGGUGGAAAGCUUUUGCGGUGUGGGAUGGGCCCGCGGCCUAUCAGCUUGUUGGUGGGGUAAUGGCCUACCAAGGCGACGACGGGUAGCCGGCCUGAGAGGGUGUCCGGCCACACUGGGACUGAGAUACGGCCCAGACUCCUACGGGAGGCAGCAGUGGGGAAUAUUGCACAAUGGGCGCAAGCCUGAUGCAGCGACGCCGCGUGAGGGAUGACGGCCUUCGGGUUGUAAACCUCUUUCAAUAGGGACGAAGCGCAAGUGACGGUACCUAUAGAAGAAGCACCGGCCAACUACGUG